UACGGAGGCUGCAAGCGUUAUCCGGAAUGAUUGGGCGUAAAGCGUCCGCAGGUGGCUAUGUAAGUCUGCUGUUAAAGAGUGAGGCUCAACCUCAUAAGAGCAGUGGAAACUACAUGGCUAGAGUGCGUUCGGGGCAGAGGGAAUUCCUGGUGUAGCGGUGAAAUGCGUAGAUAUCAGGAAGAACACCGGUGGCGAAAGCGCUCUGCUAGGCCGCAACUGACACUGAGGGACGAAAGCUAGGGGAGCGAAUGGG
RNAcentral lists this ribosomal RNA (253 nucleotides) under uncultured bacterium. Its description in RNAcentral is "partial 16S ribosomal RNA". It matches the Rfam family "Bacterial small subunit ribosomal RNA", at positions 524 to 776 of the family's 1533-position model. The record is from RNAcentral.